This 1401-nucleotide long non-coding RNA is filed under the name Taeniopygia guttata (zebra finch). RNAcentral describes it as "lncRNA (ENSTGUG00000021971.1)". Lineage: Eukaryota; Metazoa; Chordata; Aves; Passeriformes; Estrildidae. The record is from RNAcentral.
AUGGGAAAAAAUGGGAAAAAUUGGGGAAAAAAUUGGGGAAAAAAGGGCAAAAAUGGGAAAAAAAUGGGCAAAACUGGUCCAUACUGGUCCAUACUGGUCUAUACUGGUUCAUACUGGUUUAUACUGGUUUAUACUGGUUUUUCCCCCCCACAGCUCCCUGGGGGCGGGGCAGACGCUCCGGCUCAGCCAAUCAGUGACGCCGCUCCGGGCCGGGCAGCGCCGCCUCGUGGCCACCUUGGAAAGCGCCGCCCUCCCCCCCCUGAGCGGCUGCGUCCAGUUCAGCGCCCAAACUGGGAGCACUGGGAGCACUGGGAGCCUUACUGGGGAUACUGGGAGGGAGGAGAAUCAUACUGGGAGCACUGGGAAUGGCGGCAGGCGGCUGCGCAGGAGGAGGGGGAGGCCCGGCGGGAGUACGGGGGGUUAACUGGGAGCACUGGUUUGGACUGGGAGGGGGUUUGUGUUAUACUGGUCCAUACUGGGAGCACUGGUUUGUACUGGGAGGGGGUUUGGGUCAUACUGGGAGCCAUACUGGGAGCACUGGGAGCCAUACUGGGAGCACUGGGAGCCAUACUGGGAGCACUGGUUUGUACUGGGAGCCAUACUGGGAGCACUGGGAGCCAAACUGGGCCAUACUGGUCCAUAGUGGGAGCACUGGGAGCAGUCACUGGGUCAUACUGGGAGCACUGGGAGGGGUUACUGAUUCAUACUGGGAGCACUGGGAGCCAAACUGGGAGCACUGGGAGCCAUACUGGGCCAUACUGGGUCAUACUGGGAGCACUGGGAGCAGUCACUGGUCCAUACUGGGAGCACUGGGAGAGGGUUUGGGCCAAACUGGUCCAUACUGGGAAGGACUGGGAGCCAUACUGGGAGCACUGGAAGUCAAACUGGUCCAUACUGGGAGCACUGGGAUGGGGUUUGGGGUCAUACUGGGAGCACUGGUUUGUACUGGGAGAGGCUUUGGGCCAUACUGGGCCAUACUGGGAGCUGUUACUGGUUCAUACUGGGAGCACUGGGAGCGGUCACUGGUCCAUACUGGGAGCACUGGGAGCACUGGGAGCACUGGGAGCGGUCACUGGUCCAUACUGGGAGCACUGGGAGCCAUACUGGGAGCACUGGGAGGGGUUACUGGUCCAUACUGGGAAGGACUGGGAUGCAUACUGGGAGCACUGGGAGCGGGGAGAAUCAUACUGGGAGCACUGGGAGCCUUACUGGGAGCACUGGGAGAGGGUUUGGCCCAUACUGGACCAUACUGGGAGCCAAACUGGUCCAUACUGGGAGCACUGGGAGCUGUUACUGGUCCAUACUGGUCGCACUGGUUUGUACUGGGAGCCCCGGCGAUGACGUCACCGCCCCGCCCGCCAAUAAAAUCGCUCUUCUAACCCCGCUUCGUGCAUGACGUCA